Molecule: ribosomal RNA, 328 nt
Filed under: uncultured eukaryote
Lineage: Eukaryota
Description: partial 18S ribosomal RNA
Rfam family: Eukaryotic small subunit ribosomal RNA
Source: RNAcentral
CCCUUAGAUGUUCUGGGCCGCACGCGCGCUACACUGACUACUUCAACGAGUUGUUUCCUUGAUCGAAAGGUCUGGGUAAUCUUUGAAAGGUAGUCGUGAUGGGGAUAGAUCCUUGCAAUUUUUGAUCUUCAACGAGGAAUUCCUAGUAAACGCAAGUCAUCAGCUUGCAUUGAUUACGUCCCUGCCCUUUGUACACACCGCCCGUCGCACCUACCGAUUGAAUGGUCCGGUGAAUCUUUAGGACUGUGGCUGAGGCCUUGCCUUGUGCGGGUCUGGCCGUGGGAAUUUAGUUAAACCUUAUCAUUUAGAGGAAGGUGAAGUCGUAACA